CCGGGUGAGUAACACGUAUCCAACCUGCCGUCUACUCAUGGACAGCCUUCUGAAAGGAAGAUUAAUACAAGAUGGCAUCAUGAGUCCGCAUGUUCACAUGAUUAAAGGUAUUCCGGUAGACGAUGGGGAUGCGUUCCAUUAGAUAGUAGGCGGGGUAACGGCCCACCUAGUCUUCGAUGGAUAGGGGUUCUGAGAGGAAGGUCCCCCACAUUGGAACUGAGACACGGUCCAA
This 232-nucleotide ribosomal RNA is filed under the name uncultured bacterium. RNAcentral describes it as "partial 16S ribosomal RNA". It matches the Rfam family "Bacterial small subunit ribosomal RNA", at positions 103 to 334 of the family's 1533-position model. The record is from RNAcentral.